This 301-nucleotide ribosomal RNA is filed under the name uncultured bacterium. RNAcentral's name for it is "partial 16S ribosomal RNA". It matches the Rfam family "Bacterial small subunit ribosomal RNA", at positions 509 to 807 of the family's 1533-position model. The record is from RNAcentral.
CAGCAGCCACGGUAAUACGUAGGGUGCGAGCGUUAAUCGGAAUUACUGGGCGUAAAGCGUGCGCAGGCGGUUAUAUAAGACAGAUGUGAAAUCCCCGGGCUCAACCUGGGACCUGCAUUUGUGACUGUAUAGCUAGAGUACGGUAGAGGGGGAUGGAAUUCCGCGUGUAGCAGUGAAAUGCGUAGAUAUGUGGAGGAAUACCGAUGGCGAAGGCGGCCCCCUGGGAUAACACUGACGCUCAUGCACGAAAGCGUGGGGAGCAAACAGGAUUAGAUACCCCCGUAGUCCCUGUCUCUUAUAC